GACGAACGCUGGCGGCGUGCCUAAUACAUGCAAGUUGAGCGCUGAAGGGAGGUACUUGUACCAACUGGGUGAGCAGCGGACGGGUGAGUAACGCGUGGGGAAUCUGCCUUUGAGCGGGGGACAACAUUUGGAAACGAAAGCUAAUACCGCAUAAAAACUUGAAACACAAGGUUUAAGAGUGAAAGAUGCACUUGCAUCACCUAAUAGUGAUCCCGCGUUGUAUUAGCUAGUUGGGGAGGGUAAGGCCCACCCAGGCCAUGGUACAUAGCCGACCUGAGAGGGGGGUCGGCCACCUCUGGACCUGGACACGGCCCAAGCUCCUUCGGGAGGCAGCCGUAGGGGAUCUUCGGCAAUUGGCGGAAGUCUGACCGGGCAACGCCGCGUGGGGGAAUAAGGGUUUCGGGUCGUAAAACUCCGUUUGUAGGGAAGAACCAUGUUUGUAAUGGAAUGCUCAUCAAGUGACGGUAACUACCCAGAAAGGGACGGCUAACUACGUG
This 497-nucleotide ribosomal RNA is filed under the name uncultured bacterium. RNAcentral describes it as "partial 16S ribosomal RNA". It matches the Rfam family "Bacterial small subunit ribosomal RNA", at positions 28 to 507 of the family's 1533-position model. The record is from RNAcentral.